Molecule: ribosomal RNA, 720 nt
Filed under: Exiguobacterium profundum
Lineage: Bacteria; Bacillati; Bacillota; Bacilli; Caryophanales
Description: bacterial SSU rRNA
Rfam family: Bacterial small subunit ribosomal RNA
Source: RNAcentral
CAGGAAGCCGUCUGAACCCUUCGGGGGGACGACGGUGGAAUCAGUGGCGGACGGGUGAGUAACACGUAAANNNNNNNNCCAUAGGUCUGGGAUAACCACGAGAAAUCGGGGCUANNNNNGGNUGUGUCAUCGGACCGCAUGGUCCGCUGAUGAAAGGCGCUCCGGCGUCGCCCAUGGAUGGCUUUGCGGUGCAUUAGCUAGUUGGUGGGGUAACGGCCCACCAAGGCGACGAUGCAUAGCCGACCUGAGAGGGUGAUCGGCCACACUGGGACUGAGACACGGCCCAGACUCCUACGGGAGGCAGCAGUAGGGAAUCUUCCACAAUGGACGAAAGUCUGAUGGAGCAACGCCGCGUGAACGAUGAAGGCUUUCGGGUCGUAAAGUUCUGUUGUAAGGGAAGAACAAGUGCCGCAGGCAAUGGCGGCACCUUGACGGUACCUUGCGAGAAAGCCACGGCUAACUACGUGCCAGCAGCCGCGGUAAUACGUAGGUGGCAAGCGUUGUCCGGAAUUAUUGGGCGUAAAGCGCGCGCAGGCGGCCUCUUAAGUCUGAUGUGAAAGCCCCCGGCUCAACCGGGGAGGGCCAUUGGAAACUGGGAGGCUUGAGUAUAGGAGAGAAGAGUGGAAUUCCACGUGUAGCGGUGAAAUGCGGAGAGAUGUGGAGGAACACCAGUGGCGAAGGCGACUCUUUGGCCUAUAACUGACGCUGAGGCGCGAAAGC